GGAAACCGAAUUAACUCGAUGGGUUAUUUUUAAUCCGAACAGAUUUUAUAUGGAUGUUGGGUAUACUUAUUCGGUGUUGAAUGCCUAUUUAAAAUAGGAAUCCUAAAGAAUAAGUCGAAACUUCCACUUGCACCUAUUUGCGAGUUUUUUCUAGCCUACGACUAAUUGGGUUUCAA
Molecule: non-coding RNA, 176 nt
Filed under: Mycoplasmatota bacterium
Lineage: Bacteria; Bacillati; Mycoplasmatota
Description: Tenericutes bacterium 6S RNA
Rfam family: 6S / SsrS RNA
About the family: E. coli 6S RNA was the first non coding RNA to be sequenced, but its function was unknown until recently. It consists of 184 nucleotides that fold into an extended hairpin structure with a large single-stranded internal bulge.
Source: RNAcentral